AAGUCGUAACAAGGUCUCCGUAGGUGAACCUGCGGAGGGAUCAUUACACAACAAAAUAUGAAGGCCCUGGCUUCGCGGCCGGCUGAAAUAUUUUUUCACCCAUGUCUUUUGCGCACUUGUUGUUUCCUGGGCGGGUUUGCCCGCCACCAGGACCAAACCAUAAACCUUUUUUUUUUAUGCAGUUACCAUCAGCGUCAGUAAAAACAAUGUAAUUAAUUACAACUUUCAACAACGGAUCUCUUGGUUCUGGCAUCGAUGAAGAACGCAGCGAAAUGCNAUACGUAGNGUGAAUUGCANAAUUCAGNGAAUCAUCGAAUCUUUGAACGCACNUUGCGCCCUUUGGUAUUCCAAAGGGCAUGCCUGUUCGAGCGUCAUUUGUACCUUCAAGCUUUGCUGGGUGUUGGGCGUUUUUGUCUCCCUCUUUCUGGGAGACUCGCCUUAAAACGAUUGGCAGCCGGCCUACUGGUUUCGGAGCGCAGCACAUAAUUUGCGCUUUGUAUCAGGAGAAAAGGACGGUAAUCCAUCAAGACUCUANAUUUUUAACUUUUGACCUCGGAUCAGGNAGGGAUACCCGCUGAACUUAAGCAU
This 588-nucleotide ribosomal RNA is filed under the name uncultured fungus. Its description in RNAcentral is "eukaryotic LSU rRNA". The stretch from base 221 to 374 matches the Rfam family "5.8S ribosomal RNA". Lineage: Eukaryota; Fungi. The record is from RNAcentral.